UGUUGUUUUACUAUAAUUCAGUACACAAGAUGCAAGUAAUGUGAAUAAUCUGUCUCUCUUGUGCAGUUUAUAAGAAACAUUCAUGACAUGAUGGCAAACAAAUUUUACCAAUUUCCUUCAAAUGAAAGGUCUUUCUCUCUCAAAGAUAAAAUGGGAUUCAUUACACUCAAAAAGAAUGGGAAAGCUCUUGAUCUAUUUGCAGAUGAGGUCACAACAGACCGUAUGCAAGCCAUUCAGGAAGCUUAUUGGACUAUGGCAUCUGCCUUACUGCCAUCUAGUCCAUGAUUCUAGCACAAGUCUUAUGGCUCUGAGAACUAUCAUCUAACAGUUUUCACUAGGAUGUAACUAUCUUACAACGAUGAGUCUCGAAGCUUCAAUGCAGCUAUUUGGUGAUGCUAAGGCCAAAUAUCUAAAUCCUUAUCUAUUUCAUCCCGGUUUCUCAUAAGUGUUCUUGGUGACAUCGUACUACUAGUUUUAGUGAU
Long non-coding RNA from Zingiber officinale, 482 nucleotides. RefSeq lists it as uncharacterized. Lineage: Eukaryota; Viridiplantae; Streptophyta; Magnoliopsida; Zingiberales; Zingiberaceae. The record is from RefSeq and is a predicted model, not a curated record. The transcript has 3 exons.